RNAcentral lists this ribosomal RNA (688 nucleotides) under uncultured bacterium. Its description in RNAcentral is "bacterial SSU rRNA". It matches the Rfam family "Bacterial small subunit ribosomal RNA", at positions 61 to 792 of the family's 1533-position model. The record is from RNAcentral.
GUUGUACGAAAGUUUAUACUUUAGUAGCGGACGGGUGAGUAAUACGUGAGAAUCUGCCUUUGGGAGGGGAACAACAGUUGGAAACGACUGCUAAUGCCCCAUAUGCUUACGAGUGAAAAGGUUAAUCCGCCCGAAGAUGAGCUCACGCCUGAUUAGCUAGUUGGUAAGGUAAAGGCUUACCAAGGCAACGAUCAGUAGCUGGUUUGAGAGGAUGAUCAGCCACACUGGGACUGAGAUACGGCCCAGACUUCUACGGAAGGCAGCAGUGGGGAAUUUUCCGCAAUGGGCGAAAGCCUGACGGAGCAAUACCGCGUGAGGGAAGAAUGCCCGUGGGUUGUAAACCUCUUUUUUUAGGGAAGAAAAUAUGACGGUACCUAAAGAAUAAGCAUCGGCUAACUCCGUGCCAGCAGCCGCGGUAAUACGGGGGAUGCAAGCGUUAUCCGGAAUCACUGGGCGUAAAGAGUCUGUAGGUGGCUUGGUAAGUCUACUGUUAAAUAUUAAAGCUUAACUUUGAAUAAGCAGUAGAAACUAUUAGGCUAGAGUAUGGUAGGGGUAGAGGGAAUUCCCAGUGUAGCGGUGAAAUGCGUAGAUAUUGGGAAGAACACCGGUGGCGAAAGCGCUCUACUGGACCAUUACUGACACUCAGAGACGAAAGCUAAGGUAGCGAAUGGGAUUAGAUACCCCAGUA